CCUCCACAAAGUUAUGCAAUACUAAAUCAUGAUCUAGAUGUGGAACCAGACAGAACAAACUCUCGUUUAAUCAGAGAGAGAAAGACAACAGAAGAAGCCGCUGGGUCAACAUGAAUGUACUGAUCCAGGUCACUGAUCUAUAUAUAUAACAUAUUAUAGAUCAGUGAUCCAGGUCCUUCACUCCAGAGGUCACGAGGUCACCGUGGUGUGAACUGCCAGCAGCUGAUAAGUCAAGGAGCAUCAUAAUGCACCGCACUGCAAAUCCAUAAUAGUGACCCUACCAAUAAUAGCAGCGCCCUCUCUUGGAUAGACUACGUCAUGUGACAUGAGGAUGCUUCUCAUUUACAUACAGACUCAUAUUAAAUGCCGUGGUACUCGUAUCACUCUUUAGACGUGAUGGCAUUUUUGCUAGCAGUGGUGUUGGCAGUAGGAGGAGCUGUGGUUCUUUUCUUACACUAUUUGUGUUUUAGAACGUGCAGGAAACAGAAAUCAAAAUAUGAGUGAUACACUGAUAAACAAUAAAUGAUAUUCAGUAAUACUCUC
Molecule: long non-coding RNA, 543 nt
Organism: Carassius gibelio (silver crucian carp)
Lineage: Eukaryota; Metazoa; Chordata; Actinopteri; Cypriniformes; Cyprinidae
Exons: 2
Source: RefSeq, a predicted model, not a curated record